This 2250-nucleotide long non-coding RNA is filed under the name Triticum aestivum (bread wheat). RNAcentral's name for it is "long non-coding RNA (TAES_LNC024295)". Lineage: Eukaryota; Viridiplantae; Streptophyta; Magnoliopsida; Poales; Poaceae. The record is from RNAcentral.
CAGCAUUCCAGGUACAAUAAUAUUCAUCAAAUACAUGUGUAUAAGAUUACAUCAUUGAUGAAUACAAUUUUCUGGCAUAGCCCUAAGGCUAUUUACAUGGCAGCGGAAGUCCAUAUAAAUGGCGGCGGAAGUCUUGGUUUGGCAGCGUCUCACUAAGGCGGGGCACCAUAACGCACAGGACUGGCAAGAUUAUGGCCUAGCACAACGGAACAAGCGAACGACCUACAAAACUGGCAUGACACGCCAGGUCAGUACAUUGAAUGUACUUGCAAGACAACCAAAUACAUAGCAUCCAAACAAACAGAAGACAAAGCAAGAACCAAGCAUAUGCAACAGUCUACAUCAACACAACUUCUAAGCAUGGCAUGAUAUUAACUAGAAUCAUAAUUCAAACUAGGCAUGAACAACAUCAUAGCAUCAACUAUCAUGGCAUAUCAAACUUACUUUUAUCAUAACAACAGCAAAGCAUAGCAUAUCAAAACAUGGCAUGGCAUCAUGAAACUAUGCUGAAAAUAAACUACCAGUUACCUCCCGUGAAGACAUCUUGUAUUAACCUUAUGCAACAAUCACUUACUCUGCCACGGCUCCUCGGAGCACAAUCAUGACUUACCGAGACCUCGUCUCGGGGUCAUAUCAACACAUCAUUGUGACUUCUCAUGAUUAUUUCAUAGUCCAAGCCAUCACAUCAGUUAUCGCAUCUUAGUUAUCACAUAAUUUAUUAGCUGAUUUAUCCUCCAUUUCGACCGAGACCCGAUAGUGUGACCUACUACGAACUUGUGCCCAUGACCGAGGACGCAGCUAUCGAUAGAUUGAAUACACUCUGCAGAGGUAGCGCACUUUACCCACACUAUGGAACCCUGGUCUCACACUCCCAUACGUGCGGACCAAAGCGUUCCGACAAAACCGAUCUACUGCCAUGACGCCCUCCCGGCCACUUCGACCAACACCCCUUAAGGGUUCAGUCCUAGGUGGCCCCGUACCUACCAAAGGUAACAAUGGCCACCGUCGUGGCAAAACGGUCCCAAACGGGGACAUGAGCUCAAAACCAAACCCGGGCACACAAGGCUUAUGUCCACCUACCUGAUCAGGGUAAGCGUGCCCAUAACCUUCCCUUGCGGGAGGCACCGGCGAGAGGCAUGACAAUAGACCCAGCUAGGACCUUCCCACAAGGUAAAUGUGGUUGCACUGGAGAAAGCUCGAUUUGGUGGCACUAUGAUAUCCCAGUGAUGGCGGAGGAGGUUUGUUAUUAAGUCAUAUUAUUAAUUUCUCCACCAUCAUCAACAUUAUGAGCAUAUUAAACAAGAAUGCAACAAUGAACAUGCAACUAACAAAUGCAUUAACAAAUAUCAAGCUACUCCAGUGAACAGUUAAAGCAUAUGAAACAUAACAAUACUAGACACUAGCUUAUUGACGGUGCAACAAAAUCAUCAUAACAUCAAGACUACUGGCAUGGACUAAACUAGACAGAGGCAUGAUAUUAUCAACAACAAUAUAACUAGCAUGGCAAAAGCUAUCAUGAGAGGUAAGCAAGCAGUAGUAACAUGUAUCACAACUGAAAUAACGGCAGACGAAACAGACAAAAACUACUGCAACUAAGCACACACAAGACGUACCAGCAAAGUCAACAUGCAAGUUCGGGGCUCAUGAUAAGAGGUUGGCUUGCCUGGGGCCGAGGAUUACUCCGGAAAAAGUGCGGAACGAUCGCGGAAAGAUUUGCAGGAAACAGUUCUCUCUCGGAGGGUGCUGUUUAUGGGCAAGGGAAAAGUGGUCAUUUUCACUGUGUGAAAACAUAAUGAAUAUGAUACCAAUGGAAAGAGUUCGACGAGACGAAGACGUGAGCGUUGGUUUCACCUCAAUCGGAGUUACGGUUGUCGAGAUACGCAGGUUUGAAGUUCAGGGACCUAUCGGUGAAAGUUUUUCAGCAAACAGGCCCCUGGAGGAAAAACUGAACGUGCCUUUGGGCUGAAUAUGUUUUCCGCACAGGGAAACGCAUUUACGGCCGAAGUGCCCAGGGAAUACGUUUUCUGACCUGGAAAGUGUAUUCAGGUGGAAUACAUUUCCACAGCAGGGAAACGGUUUGCCCGGGCGGGCGCGUCCACUUAUCCGACGUGGCCAGCGGGGCCACGCCCUCCUCUCACCGACAGGUGGGUCCCGCAGGGUGGGGCCCGCCUGGCCUGGCUUCUUCUUCCUCCCGCGCGUACGCGAGCCUGGCCGAGGGAGACGCCCGCCUCGACGGCGAUUGCCGGCGGC